AAAAGAUCGCUUACCUUCGUCGUGACUAUACACAGGCAAUCCAUUCUUCAACACGAAACAGGUGGCCGUGUCUUCCAGAGGGGGAUUUCGUGCAUCGGAGACUGUGGCAUUCGGGGGCAUGCAGGCAAGAACUAGUCCUGACGAAGGGUCUUGGCCUGAAACGUCAACUGUGCUUCUACCCAUGGAUGAUGUCUGGCCUGCUGCGUUCCACCAGCAUUUUGUGUGCGUUGCUUGAAUUUCCAGCAUCUGCAGAUUUCCUUGUGUUUGCGAGAAUAACAAGAUGUCGGGAGGGAAGGAGUACAAGUGAGGUGACAGGUACUGCAGCAGGGGCCCUCAACUAACAGUUAGGAGGGGCUAUCCCCCAUUGCUAGACAUUUCUUCUAGCUCAACCCAGGAUCAUCUAGAGACGCCAGCCUUGGAAUCACACCUUCGUUACCUUGUUUUUUAUUAUUUGUGUUUCUUGGCUCUUAUUUGUUCAGAGAGUAGAUCGAUUAAGUUAUAUUCUGCAAAUUUCAAUGAUAUACUAACAGAUAAAUACACAUGGCUAAGGACAAAGUAAAAUUCAUUUCUUUUAAUGUCAAUGGGCUG
Long non-coding RNA from Mobula hypostoma (lesser devil ray), 588 nucleotides. RefSeq lists it as uncharacterized. The record is from RefSeq and is a predicted model, not a curated record. The transcript has 3 exons. NCBI's taxonomy places the organism in Eukaryota, Metazoa, Chordata, Chondrichthyes, Myliobatiformes, Myliobatidae.